UUAAAAAGCUCGUAUUGAACCUUGGGCCUGGCUGGCCGGUCCGCCUCAUCGCGUGUACUGGUUCGGCCGGGCCUUUCCUUCUGGCAAACCUCAUGCCCUUAAUUGGGUGUGUGGGGAACCAGGACUUUUACUUUGAAAAAAUUAGAGUGUUCAAAGCAGGCAUUUGCUCGAAUACAUUAGCAUGGAAUAAUAGAAUAGGACGUGUGGUUCUAUUUUGUUGGUUUCUAGAAUCGCCGUAAUGAUUAAUAGGGAUAGUCGGGGGCAUCAGUAUUCAAUCGUCAGAGGUGAAAUUCUUGGAUUGAUUGAAGACUAACUACUGCGAAAGCAUUCGCCAAGGAUGUUUUCAUUAAUCAGGAACGAAAGUUAGGGGAUCGAAGACGAUCAGAUACCGUCGUAGUCUUAACCAUAAACUAUGCCGACUAAGGAUCGGGCGUGCUUCAAAUUUGACUCGCUCGGCACCUUACGAGAAAUCAAAGUCUUUGGGUUCUGGGGGGAGUA
RNAcentral lists this ribosomal RNA (498 nucleotides) under uncultured eukaryote. RNAcentral describes it as "SSU rRNA". It matches the Rfam family "Eukaryotic small subunit ribosomal RNA", at positions 619 to 1125 of the family's 1831-position model. The record is from RNAcentral.